UACGUAGGUGGCGAGCGUUGUCCGGAUUUACUGGGCGUAAAGGGAGCGUAGGCGGACUUUUAAGUGAGAUGUGAAAUACUCGGGCUCAACUUGAGUGCUGCAUUUCAAAUUGGAAGUCUAGAGUGCAGGAGAGGAGAAUGGAAUUCCUAGUGUAGCGGUGAAAUGCAUAGAGAUUAGGAAGAACACCAGUGGCGAAGGCGAUUCUCUGGACUGUAACUGACGCUGAGGCUCGAAAGCGUGGGGAGCAAACAGG
This 253-nucleotide ribosomal RNA is filed under the name uncultured bacterium. RNAcentral describes it as "partial 16S ribosomal RNA". It matches the Rfam family "Bacterial small subunit ribosomal RNA", at positions 524 to 776 of the family's 1533-position model. The record is from RNAcentral.